Long non-coding RNA from Pimephales promelas (fathead minnow), 1620 nucleotides. RefSeq lists it as uncharacterized. The record is from RefSeq and is a predicted model, not a curated record. Lineage: Eukaryota; Metazoa; Chordata; Actinopteri; Cypriniformes; Leuciscidae.
AUGCCUACCCUGCAGAAACCACUAGCUAUUCAAAUUAGACAGUAUUAUUAACACGUCUGUUCUAGCAGAAACAUUUGGGUUCCUCAAACAGUGCACUGGCGAAUCGCACGCUUCCUCGUCCACUUUUACGAGCUCGCUUUGACAGGGAAGGACAUUUUACAUUAGUAAUUUCACUGCAUUUAUUGCAUUAUUCUUUGUAUUGACAUUUGUGACGUGAUAAUGUUUACCUUUGUUUCUUUAGCAUGAGAGCGGAAAAACAGAUGAGAAACAUAAAGCGUUCUAAUCUGAACAAAAACGUCACUAUUUCCACAGCUAAGGCACAAAGGCAAGCAAUACUCAUUCCGUGACUUUGGAGAUUACUGCAGAGAGCAGAUCCUUGCCAGGAGACCUGCACUACUUCUCUUAGAGGAUGACAAGGAGAGGAAUUUGAUCCAUCUGGUGUGGAGGGGGAAAGAGAGGUGAAGUGCCCUUUGACCUUUUGAAGGACAGGGAAGCAGUUUCAUAUCUCAUGCUCCUCGGUCGUGCUUGUUUGAUCUGGACUUACCUCAGUUCACACGUCUCAGCUUCUGCCCUACAAGUGGAGGAAUGUGUGUAACAAUUAACUUAUUGGAAGAACACAAACAGCACUGAAAAAAAAGUUUUAUAGCAGCCGAGUGAAAACAUAAUAGGCUUGAAUACCUGAGAUGGUUGAGGUCACCAGCAAAUACUAUGACAUGUCAUGUGACAGAAUAUCUGCAUGAAGCCCACCUGCAUAGGAAUGACAAAAGGGACCACCAAGCUUAAAUGCAUGUUUCCAUGGAAACCAGCUGAAGGCUGAGUGCACUGACUUUAAAUGCCUGCAUAGACAUUACAGCCUGAGUCAGUGGACUAGCAGCGCACAGGCCUUUCCUCUUUAGGCAUUAGCUGUCGAGACCGGAAUUGUACUUCGCACAGAUGGUUCAUCGUUCGUGGGAUGAUGGGAUGACCAAAAAUAUGUCAGGCUCCCUAACCAAAGCCAUAAACUUAGGCUGCAAAACACUUGGGAAAAUAACAUCAUUGUAGGAGCCUCACACUGCACGCACACAUUGCUGAAUGGUUUCACAUCAGUUUGCAUUAAGAAACAGUUGAUUGUUCAGUUUGGGUGGGAUCGUGAAAAUGUACUUACUAGAGUAAUUACAAUUACUGAGUAAUAACUAGGUACUAACCCUGAACCUACCCCUAAAGCUACCCCUAACCCAUGUACUUAACAUAUAUUCGCCAGUACUUUCUAGGUAAGUAAGUACACUGUAAGUACUGUAGCCUGUAAAGGGAAGCGUGUCAAACUUUAUGCUAGUUUUUAAUAAGCAAAUAGCAAGUAAUUAUACUUUACCAUAUUUUAACAUAGGAUUUAUCUCUCUGCAGUGAUACGCAGGUCCUAGUAGGGGCUCAUGUGAGAUAUUUGUGAUAGAAAGGCAAAUUUGGUUUAUCCAGCAUUCUGUUUUUACAAUAUCAGCAUUGAAUCUGGGGUUCUCACAAUAGUUGUGAAAGAGCUGACUUCCAAAUCCAACAUACACUUUAUAUUUCAAAAUAUUAUGUACAAACUUUUAUCAAGGACAGUGUUACAAUGACAUUUUAUGAGCAACACUUUUUUAUUCAGUGCCU